UAGCAAGGAAUGCAUAGGCUCUUAAAGUGAGACGAGAUUACGAACUCACAAAAGAGAAAUAAGGAGAUGACGCGCCUACUCGAAGCAAUAGGUGAUGCACCUACUUGGACCAAGUAGGUGACUCACCUGCUUGGGGUGGACUCCAUGUUGCCAUGUGGUAGCGUAUGAUUGGGAGCAUGGAUGAGGUGGAGCCCUAGGGGCUGACACAUGUCACCCCUAGGGGCUACCCCAUGUCACUCUCCAAGGGAGUGUAUAUAUACAUGUCUUGAUGACUAAGGAUUUAUUUCCGUAGUCUUUUACUUAGAAAAAAAGAGAGAAAAACGUGAGAGCAAGAGCAAGGCAGCCACGGGUUGCUCCAAUUCAAGAAAAGGAGUGACGCGAACAGCCCGCAAACUUUCAGCAUGUUAACGAGCUUCCAAAGUUGAUUUUUGGCAAGGUUCAGAGGACGAUGAGACAAGCCGGGUUAAAAGCAAUCGAU
This is a long non-coding RNA of Solanum dulcamara, 478 nucleotides long. RefSeq lists it as uncharacterized. The transcript is spliced from 3 exons. The record is from RefSeq and is a predicted model, not a curated record. NCBI's taxonomy places the organism in Eukaryota, Viridiplantae, Streptophyta, Magnoliopsida, Solanales, Solanaceae.